ACAGCUGCUGAUGUUUCCAGUUUCCAUGCAGGAAGACAGGUAGGAGGAGAUCAUCUGGCAAAGAGAUUUGCAGAGUGUCGGGUGACCGGCAAAGAGAUCUGCAAAGUGUCAGUUGAAGA
Molecule: long non-coding RNA, 119 nt
Organism: Pseudophryne corroboree (corroboree frog)
Lineage: Eukaryota; Metazoa; Chordata; Amphibia; Anura; Myobatrachidae
Exons: 2
Source: RefSeq, a predicted model, not a curated record